Molecule: ribosomal RNA, 933 nt
Filed under: uncultured bacterium
Lineage: Bacteria
Description: bacterial SSU rRNA
Rfam family: Bacterial small subunit ribosomal RNA
Source: RNAcentral
GCGGUAAUACGGGGGGUCCGAGCGUUAAUCGGAAUUACUGGGCGUAAAGGGUCUGUAGGUGGUUUGUUAAGUCAGAUGUGAAAGCCCAGGGCUCAACCUUGGAACUGCAUUUGAUACUGGCAAACUAGAGUAUGGUAGAGGAAUGGGGAAUUUCUGGUGUAGCGGUGAAAUGCGUAGAGAUCAGAAGGAACACCAAUGGCGAAGGCAACAUUCUGGACCAAUACUGACACUGAGGGACGAAAGCGUGGGGAUCAAACAGGAUUAGAUACCCUGGUAGUCCACGCUGUAAACGAUGAGUACUAGCUGUUGGAUUCGGUGUAAAGGAUCUAGUGGCGUAGCUAACGCGUUAAGUACUCCGCCUGGGGACUACGGCCGCAAGGCUAAAACUCAAAGGAAUUGACGGGGACCCGCACAAGCGGUGGAGCAUGUGGUUUAAUUCGAUGCAACGCGAAGAACCUUACCUGGUCUUGACAUCCUGCGAACUUUCUAGAGAUAGAUUGGUGCCUUCGGGAACGCAGUGACAGGUGCUGCACGGCUGUCGUCAGCUCGUGUUGUGAAAUGUUGGGUUAAGUCCCGCAACGAGCGCAACCCCUAUUGAUAGUUACCAUCAUUAAGUUGGGUACUCUAUUGAGACUGCCGCUGACAAGGCGGAGGAAGGUGGGGACGACGUCAAGUCAUCAUGGCCCUUACGACCAGGGCUACACACGUGCUACAAUGGGUAUUACAGAGGGCAGCGAAGUAGCGAUAUGGAGCGAAACUCAGAAAGGUACUCUUAGUCCGGAUUGCAGUCUGCAACUCGACUGCAUGAAGUCGGAAUCGCUAGUAAUCGCAGGUCAGAAUACUGCGGUGAAUACGUUCCCGGGUCUUGUACACACCGCCCGUCACACCAUGGGAGUGGGUUGCUCCAGAAGUAGAUAGCUUAACGAAUGGGCG